Molecule: ribosomal RNA, 1203 nt
Filed under: uncultured bacterium
Lineage: Bacteria
Description: bacterial SSU rRNA
Rfam family: Bacterial small subunit ribosomal RNA
Source: RNAcentral
CCGAAUUUGGGAUAACGGUUCCAACGAGCCGCUAAUACCGGAUAGGUUAUCCUGGUCGCAUGGCCGGGUUAAGAAAGUUGCAAUUGCAACGUUCGGGGAUGAGUUCGCGGCCCAUUAGCUAGUUGGCGGGGUAAUGGCCCACCAAGGCAACGAUGGGUAGCCGGCCUGAGAGGGUGAUCGGCCACAUUGGGACUGAGAUACGGCCCAGACUCCUACGGGAGGCAGCAGUAGGGAAUUUUGCGCAAUGGACGAAAGUCUGACGCAGCAAUACCGUGUGAGGGAUGAAGCAUUUCGGUGUGUAAACCUCUGUCGAUGACGAAUAAAGCAUUUGGGAGUGGAAAGCCCAGGUGUUGAAGGUAGUCAGAAAGGAAGCACCGGCUAACUCUGUGCCAGCAGCCGCGGUAAUACAGGGGGUGCAAGCGUUGUUCGGAAUUACUGGGCGUAAAGGGAGCGUAGGCGGGAUUGCAAGACAGGGGUUAAAUCUCCGGGCUCAACCUGGAACUUGCCUUUGUGACUGCAGUCCUUGAAUAUGGUAGAGGUCAGUGGAAUUUCCGGUGUAGCGGUGGAAUGCGUAGAGAUCGGAAAGAACACCAGAGGCGAACGCGACUGACUGGACCAAUAUUGACGCUGAGGCUCGAAAGCGGUGGGGAGCAAACAGGAUUAGAUACCCUGGUAGUCCAUGCUGUAAACGAUGAACACUAGAUGUCGGGAGGGGUUCCUUCCGGUGUCGUCGCUAACGCAGUAAGUGUUCCGCCUGGGGAGUACGUUCGCAAGGAUGAAACUCAAAGGAAUUGACGGGGGCCCGCACAAGCGGUGGAGCAUGUGGUUUAAUUCGAUGCAACGCGAAGAACCUUACCUGGGCUUGACAUGGGAACGACCGCACGAGAGAUCGUGUUUUCUCUUCGGAGACGUUCCGCACAGGUGCUGCAUGGCUGUCGUCAGCUCGUGUUGUGAGAUGUUCGGUUAAGUCCGGCAACGAGCGCAACCCCUGUCUUUAGUUGCUAACGGGUCAUGCCGAGCACUCUAAAGAGACUGCCCGGGUUAACCGGGAGGAAGGUGGGGAUGACGUCAAGUCCUCAUGGCCCUUACGCCCAGGGCUACACACGUGCUACAAUGGUCGGUACAGUGGGAAGCAAUACCGCAAGGUGGAGCAAAUCCUGAAAGCCGUCCUCAGUUCGGAUUGGAGGCUGCAACUCGCCUCCA